This is a long non-coding RNA of Falco peregrinus (peregrine falcon), 3593 nucleotides long. RefSeq lists it as uncharacterized. Lineage: Eukaryota; Metazoa; Chordata; Aves; Falconiformes; Falconidae. The transcript has 2 exons. The record is from RefSeq and is a predicted model, not a curated record.
GCCGGUCGGGAGGCUGCGGCCUAGGCCCCGCCGCAGCGGCGCUGGGCCCGGCCCGGCCUAGCCCGGCGAGGCGCGGCGAGGCGCGGCGCGGCCCGUCGGCGGGCCCGAUCCGUCCCGCGUUCCUGCUGUGUCAUGCAGGCCCAGAGGAGGCGGGGGUACUGCCGGGAGGGGGAUGGGCACCUCCCUGCGUGCUGCUCCCCACGCCCCCCUGUCCCCCGGUCGGGCCUCCCCGGGAAGUGUCGAGUCAUGGGGUGGGGGUGGGGGGGCGGAGGCGAGGCCUGGCCGAGCCUCCCGCUGGGCCCUGGGGCCGCUUGCCUGCCAUGCCCCGGCGCGGCCCGGGCCGUCCCGCCAGGGCUAGGCCGUUAGCCGGAGCGGGCUUUGUCUUCCAGGCCUCGGAGUGGCUGGUGGGGCAGCGAGGGGCACGUCCCAGCCUCCUCCUCGCAGCGGCCCUCGGGCCGGGUCUGGCAAGUGACUUGGCAUUAGCAGAGGCAGACAUGUUGUGCCAGGUUGCCCUCUGUGCCAGCUGAGGCAAUAGGCUAUAUUUUCAUCUCUGGUGUCUUGCCUCGCUCGGUUUUCUGUUCCAGGCCGAGGAUCGUCUUUCGUGCUCCUCAAAAAUGAAUUGAGUAAUAGUGGUCUCUUGGCUCCUAGCCCAUGUGUGUAAGCUACUUCAUUGCACGUUGAGAGGAGUAAAAAUAGCACCUAAAGAGAAACUGCCCAAAUUCAGGACUACUUGAAGUGACAUUUUGGGCUUGCCAGAGGUGCUUUUGGUCCUUCAGUGUCCUUCGUUGAUGUUCUUCUUUUCUUUUGCAACUCCUGAAACUUAGAUCUGCUUGGUCCUGUUGAGUGAGUUCCAGCAAGCUGUGCCAAGAAUUUGGUGUCCAUGGUAGAGCUUGUGGUGGAAGUGACAGUCUCAGAGGUGUGUCUUGCAGCUGAGUGGGGUGAACAGUGACUUCAAAAAGAAAUUUCUACUUUAGCAAAGUUCUUCUCACCACAUAGGAGUCAACAAAAGUUACUCUGCAACUGGAAAAGAGUUACUUCUUAGUUGCCUUUUUUGGGUCAGUGCUUCUGGCAGCCAUCUUACGGAAUUGAGCCUUACCACAGCGAGUAGCAUUGCAAGAGCUAAGGCAGUGUGGUUUCUGAAGGGAUUCUUGUUUUCAUGUGCCUACCUGUCUGAAACAGUGUUUGAGAACUUGGCAUCUUAAGCGUGAGUGUGAACUCACUGCUUGGUUGUCAUGUGCUGUUCCAGUGAGUGGCUGCAGUCAUCAGAUACCUCACUCAUUUACUUCAAUGGAUAAAAUAUUUAAUGUGUUUGGAGCUUUUUUUGGUGGUGGUUUUUUGUUUUUUUUUUUAAUACAUACUUGGGGAAAGCAGUUCAGUCUGUAAUGUGGAUAUUCAGGGUGGUAAGAAACCACUAACAGGUUUUAUCUUGGAAGCAAGUUCCUGAGCAUAUAGCUAAAAAGGCACACCAGCAUUCAGAGGGUGUGACCGUUUUCACUUUCGUUACUGCAGCAGGAAUCAUUUUGAGUCAGUGAAUUUUUGCUAUAGUUUUAGCACAGUCUUACAGGAAGAACUUGCUUCCUCAGUUUAAGUGGAGCCUUGGAGCUUGGUAGUCUUUCUCAGAAGAACUGCUAAUUGGUAAUUACUUUCUGGUCUUGUUCUUCAUGCCAUCCACCACAAUGCAUAACUUCUGGGCCUUAUCACAUGCUGAACAAGGAGAGCUGUGGCAUAGAGAAAAAUGACAAAGGAUAAAUGUCCAGUCAGAUAACUGAAGCUGACCCUGCACAUUGAGAUGGCUGCAUGCUGUUUCUGGGAGACCUUCAUUCCAUUUUUAAUACCUCCAAGCUUUUUGAUUGCUUUAAGUGCAGUAAUGUACUAGCAACAUUGAUCCAGCCCUUGCUUCUUACUUAGGAAACUGUAGGUUCAGUUCUUCAGUACUAAAACUUUUUUUUUCCAUUCAGCAGAACUAAGUGGACCUCUUGCUGUGCUCUUCAGCACUGCUGUGUGUCAGAGGUAUCUAAACUUUUUUGCAGUUUUAUACAGCUCUUGGUUUGUGGACAGUUCCAAAAGCUUCCACUUGCUGCCCAGUUCCUUUUCCAUUUAUUUUUAUCUUGUGUCCCAAACUGAUUUUUAGACUACACGGCAGUCUCUGCAUCCCAAGGGAUAGCCACUCAGUUUCAGUAAUGGCUUUUGUAGUCAAAGUCUGGCAGCAGUUUCUUAUCAAAAGGCCUUUGGAUCCACAUCUCAUGUGUGGAGGAGUAUGAGUUACAUUCAUACUUUGAACAGGCUAAAUAGGAGUAUUGUUUCUUUCUGGUGUCACUUAGCUCAAGUUUUAAACUCUUAUCUGCUAAAUUAAUUUCCAGUGGCCAGGAGCUGAUGCUGAGGCAGGGUCCUUACAAAUAGGUUGUUGAGGUUUUUUUCUGUUUUAACCACAUGAUCCUGUCUGGCCUGACAGUGUAUUUGUUUGGUUUUCUUACUGCUCUCUCAGUUUUCCUAGAAAUACCACCCUUUUCAGGACUUCACCAAGACCACAUUUUAGAUUGCGGAUGGAAUUCAUGAGCUUCUUCCAGGAUGUGCCCAGCAGCCUUUCUUGUGUCUUUUUGGGUUUGGAGAAUGGAUCUGUAACAUCUUACAGUGAAAUGGAUGGAUGGCAAUGUCUUACCACUUGCACUCUUUAAUGAAGAGGGGAAAAAGGCGACUUUCCCAGUACCAGCAGUCCAGGAAAGACAUAUUUUACAGCAGCUCCUUUUGUUCACUUAAAAUAAUGUCUGUCAUUUGCAACAUGUUUCCUAUGCUUCCAGGGCUUCUUUAAAACCUCUUGGAAACAAGCUGGCUGCCCUCAGAGGCUUGCGUGGUAUUGUUCCCCCUUUUAUGUGUCAGAGAAGGGAGCCAAUACAGCAUAGCCUGUCUUGGAGAAACCCUUAUCUUGAGAGGUGGGCGGCCAUUGGGUAGCAUCACACUGUAGGUAUGUCACCCCUCUCCUAUGGACGUUGAAAAAUGCAGUGAGUGUGCCACGUGACACACUGCUGCCACGGUCUGCCUUCAUGCUGUGUAGCUGCUUGCUGUGCCACUUCCAUUCAAGGUGUGAUUUCUUCUGGUUAUUUUGUCCCUAAAAGAGCGAAAUGGAGCCAAAGUGUGCGGCCAUCACCAUUGUCCACAAAGUUUCCUACCCUUGCUGCUUGCUUAGGACAAAUGUCUUAUUUGUCAGAAUUAAAUGAACUGUUCUGACCUUAGCAUUCCAGCACAUCUGGAAUACCUGGAGAAAGAGUCAGGUGCCUGUCAAGGAAAGUUACAGCAGUCAGCCACUGUUGUGGCUGGCAAAUAUACAACUUCCAAGAGCUCCUUGGGAAUCAAAAGAUUUGAAUUCAUAUUUCUUUAAUGGAGCGUAUUAGAUUUGAAGGAAAACAUUUAAUCUGCCUUUCUUCCAUUUCCUUGCUGUUUGAUUUGCUUCAUUUUGUCAAGGCAAACAAAUUAUCCGUCAUAUUUCUUGUGGCAUAGUGGGCUAGAGCUGCAGUGACUCCUGUGAAAGUAUUACGGAAAGGUGCUUAUAUCCUAAAAAAAACCCAACCAACCAACCAAAAAACCCCAAAUAAACA